This 497-nucleotide ribosomal RNA is filed under the name uncultured bacterium. Its description in RNAcentral is "partial 16S ribosomal RNA". It matches the Rfam family "Bacterial small subunit ribosomal RNA", at positions 28 to 507 of the family's 1533-position model. The record is from RNAcentral.
GAUGAACGCUGGCGGCGUGCCUAAUACAUGCAAGUCGAGCGAACAGACGAGGAGCUUGCUCCUCUGACGUUAGCGGCGGACGGGUGAGUAACACGUGGAUAACCUACCUAUAAGACUGGGAUAACUUCGGGAAACCGGAGCUAAUACCGGAUAACAUGUUGCACCGCAUGGUUCAACAGUGAAAGACGGUUUUGCUGUCACUUAUAGAUGGAUCCGCGUCGCAUUAGCUAGUUGGUAAGGUAACGGCUUACCAAGGCAACGAUGCGUAGCCGACCUGAGAGGGUGAUCGGCCACACUGGAACUGAGACACGGUCCAGACGCCUACGGGAGGCAGCAGUAGGGAAUCUUCCGCAAUGGGCGAAAGCCUGACGGAGCAACGCCGCGUGAGUGAAGAAGGUCUUCGGAUCGUAAAACUCUGUUAUUAGGGAAGAACAAAUGUGUAAGUAACUAUGCACGUCUUGACGGUACCUAAUCAGAAAGCCACGGCUAACUACGUG